GUAAAGCGUGCGCAGGCGGUUUUGUAAGACUGUCGUGAAAUCCCCGGGCUCAACCUGGGAAUGGCGAUGGUGACUGCAAGGCUAGAGUUUGGCAGAGGGGGGUAGAAUUCCACGUGUAGCAGUGAAAUGCGUAGAUAUGUGGAGGAACACCGAUGGCGAAGGCAGCCCCCUGGGUCAAAACUGACGCUCAUGCACGAAAGCGUGGGGAGCAAACAGGAUUAGAUACCCGU
This 230-nucleotide ribosomal RNA is filed under the name uncultured bacterium. Its description in RNAcentral is "partial 16S ribosomal RNA". It matches the Rfam family "Bacterial small subunit ribosomal RNA", at positions 560 to 789 of the family's 1533-position model. The record is from RNAcentral.